ACUGUUCUAGUGAAGAUCGUAGGAUUUUUUUAAUUCUAAAGUUCUUAAGAGUUUUACGGAGCUCAUCUGGUGACGAGAACAAAAAAAAAACGAAAAUUUGUGCUCCAGACUUAACACAUGGGAACAACUUAAUUGAACAAGUUGUGGUGGCGAUUUGAAUAAGUCGUGGGUUUGAGUUAUAAUGUUAUGGUCGCGGCCCACAAAUUGGUUUUUUUCCUCCCACCAGACGGGCUGCACUGAAUUUCCCCUCUGUAAGAUGAAAUGUGUUCACAAAGCACCUGAGACGAAAUUCUCAGCGCAUUUAGGAGGAUCUUUCAGAGAGGCUGAAAGCGUCUUAAGCAGGGAAAACGGGGAAAACCGACAGAGUUUAGAGUUGAAACC
Long non-coding RNA from Xiphophorus hellerii (green swordtail), 381 nucleotides. RefSeq lists it as uncharacterized. Lineage: Eukaryota; Metazoa; Chordata; Actinopteri; Cyprinodontiformes; Poeciliidae. The transcript is spliced from 3 exons. The record is from RefSeq and is a predicted model, not a curated record.